Molecule: ribosomal RNA, 253 nt
Filed under: uncultured bacterium
Lineage: Bacteria
Description: partial 16S ribosomal RNA
Rfam family: Bacterial small subunit ribosomal RNA
Source: RNAcentral
UACGUAGGGGGCAAGCGUUAUCCGGAUUUACUGGGUGUAAAGGGAGCGUAGACGGUGCAGCAAGUCUGAUGUGAAAGGUCGGGGCCCAACCCCGGGACUGCAUUGGAAACUGUUGAACUGGAGUACAGGAGAGGUAAGCGGAAUUCCUAGUGUAGCGGUGAAAUGCGUAGAUAUUAGGAGGAACACCAGUGGCGAAGGCGGCUUACUGGACUGUAACUGACGUUGAGGCUCGAAAGCGUGGGGAGCAAACAGG